This 783-nucleotide long non-coding RNA is filed under the name Ananas comosus (pineapple). RNAcentral describes it as "long non-coding RNA (ACOM_LNC031037)". Lineage: Eukaryota; Viridiplantae; Streptophyta; Magnoliopsida; Poales; Bromeliaceae. The record is from RNAcentral.
UAUAAAAAAUGAUUCCGAGCCCAAAAAUAAUUUUGGGCCCAGUAGAAUGUUUGGUAAUAAAUAUUGAAAAAUUUAAUUUUAUUUUCAAGAAUCAGAAAACUGAUUUUGAAGUUUUCAUAAUCAGAAGUAGAAAAAAAAUUGCUUCUUGAAAUCUAAUUCUGAUUUUAGACCCAAACUUCAAUUUUUUUUAUUUUAAUUUUAGAUUCAAAGUUUAAAUUUAAAUUUAAUUCUAAUUUUUAAAUUUCAUAUUCAUAUUUGAAUUUUUAAAUUUCAACUGUUCAAAUAUAAAAUUUAAAAUUUAGAUUUUAAACUUCAAAUUUAAAAUUUAGAUUUUAAACUUCAAAUUUAAAAUUUAGAUUUUAAACUUCAAAUUUAAAAUUUAUAUUUUAAACUUCAAAUUUUAAAUUUUAAAUUUUAAAUUUCAAGUUUUAAAUUCCAAGUUUUAAAUUUAAACUUUAAAUUUUAAAAUUUAUAUUUAUAUUUAAAAAUUCAAACUUUAAAUUUUAAAUUUAUUUUUUAAAUUAAAAUAUCAAAUUUUAAAUUUUGUACAAUUUUAAAAUUUAAAAAAUUAAUUUUAAUUCAAAUUCAAAUUUAAAUUUUAAAUUAUUUUAAAAUAAAAUUUAAUAAAAAUAUUAACUUAUAUAAAUAUUAAAAAAAUUUUGUCAAACAGGUUUAUAAAAUCAUUUUAGAAAAAUUAUUUUUAUUUAAAUUCAGCACAACGCUAUAUAAUUUUUAAUCAAAAUUAUUUUUUUAAAUUAAAAUUAAUUUUGUAAAAAUUAUUUU